RNAcentral lists this ribosomal RNA (260 nucleotides) under uncultured bacterium. Its description in RNAcentral is "partial 16S ribosomal RNA". It matches the Rfam family "Bacterial small subunit ribosomal RNA", at positions 97 to 353 of the family's 1533-position model. The record is from RNAcentral.
GGCGGACGGGUGAGUAACGCGUGGGUAACCUGCCUCAUACAGGGGGAGUAACAGUUGGAAACGACUGCUAAUACCGCAUAAGCGCACAGGGUCGCAUGACCUGGUGUGAAAAACUCCGGUGGUAUGAGAUGGACCCGCGUCUGAUUAGCCAGUUGGUGGGGUAACGGCCUACCAAAGCGACGAUCAGUAGCCGACCUGAGAGGUUGACCGGCCACAUUGGGACUGAGACACGGCCCAGACUCCUACCGGGAGGCAGCAUG